Molecule: ribosomal RNA, 657 nt
Filed under: uncultured bacterium
Lineage: Bacteria
Description: bacterial SSU rRNA
Rfam family: Bacterial small subunit ribosomal RNA
Source: RNAcentral
ACACAUGCAGUCGAGCGGCAGCACGGGUACUUGUACCUGGUGGCGAGCGGCGGACGGGUGAGUAAUGCCUAGGAAUCUGCCUAGUAGUGGGGGAUAACGUCCGGAAACGGGCGCUAAUACCGCAUACGUCCUACGGGAGAAAGUGGGGGAUCUUCGGACCUCACGCUAUUAGAUGAGCCUAGGUCGGAUUAGCUAGUUGGUGAGGUAAUGGCUCACCAAGGCGACGAUCCGUAACUGGUCUGAGAGGAUGAUCAGUCACACUGGAACUGAGACACGGUCCAGACUCCUACGGGAGGCGGCAGUGGGGAAUAUUGGACAAUGGGCGAAAGCCUGAUCCAGCCAUGCCGCGUGUGUGAAGAAGGUCUUCGGAUUGUAAAGCACUUUAAGUUGGGAGGAAGGGCAGUUACCUAAUACGUGAUUGUUUUGACGUUACCGACAGAAUAAGCACCGGCUAACUCUGUGCCAGCAGCCGCGGUAAUACAGAGGGUGCAAGCGUUAAUCGGAAUUACUGGGCGUAAAGCGCGCGUAGGUGGUUUGUUAAGUUGGAUGUGAAAGCCCCGGGCUCAACCUGGGAACUGCAUCCAAAACUGGCAAGCUAGAGUAUGGUAGAGGGUGGUGGAAUUUCCUGUGUAGCGGUGAAAUGCGUAGAUAUAGGAA